AUGGUGAUGCGGGCAAUCUCUGAUUAGAGACUUGAAUCUCUCCUAUGCAUGAUAGAGAUUUUCGUUUGGCUUCUGCUUGAAACUUAAGAUCUCACUCCUCACCUU
Molecule: small nucleolar RNA, 105 nt
Filed under: Capsicum annuum
Lineage: Eukaryota; Viridiplantae; Streptophyta; Magnoliopsida; Solanales; Solanaceae
Description: Plant small nucleolar RNA R71
Rfam family: Plant small nucleolar RNA R71
About the family: R71 is a member of the C/D box family of snoRNAs containing the C (UGAUGA) and D (CUGA) box motifs.
Source: Rfam by way of RNAcentral